UACGUAGGGAGCGAGCGUUGUCCGGAUUCAUUGGGCGUAAAGAGCUCGUAGGCGGCUUGGUAAGUCGGAUGUGAAACCUCCAGGCUCAACCUGGAGUCGCCAUCCGAUACUGCCAUGGCUAGAGUCCGGUAGGGGCCCACGGAAUUCCUGGUGUAGCGGUGAAAUGCUUAGAGAUGACAUAGAACACCCAUUGCGAAGGCAGCUUACUACGGAUUGAUUGACACUGAGGCACGAAAGCGUGGGGAUCAAACAGG
Molecule: ribosomal RNA, 254 nt
Filed under: uncultured bacterium
Lineage: Bacteria
Description: partial 16S ribosomal RNA
Rfam family: Bacterial small subunit ribosomal RNA
Source: RNAcentral